RNAcentral lists this transfer RNA (68 nucleotides) under Camelus bactrianus (Bactrian camel). It matches the Rfam family "tRNA". Rfam says of the family: Transfer RNA (tRNA) molecules are approximately 80 nucleotides in length. Their secondary structure includes four short double-helical elements and three loops (D, anti-codon, and T loops). Further hydrogen bonds mediate the characteristic L-shaped molecular structure. tRNAs have two regions of fundamental functional importance: the anti-codon, which is responsible for specific mRNA codon recognition, and the 3' end, to which the tRNAs corresponding amino acid is attached (by aminoacyl-tRNA synthetases). tRNAs cope with the degeneracy of the genetic code in two manners: having more than one tRNA (with a specific anti-codon) for a particular amino acid; and 'wobble' base-pairing, i.e. permitting non-standard base-pairing at the 3rd anti-codon position. RNAcentral also lists the same sequence under 2 other names. Lineage: Eukaryota; Metazoa; Chordata; Mammalia; Artiodactyla; Camelidae. The record is from Rfam by way of RNAcentral.
AGGUAUAGCUCAGGGGUAGAGCGUGUGCUCAGCAUGCACAAGGUCCUGGGUUCAAUCCCUGGGACCUA